RNAcentral lists this ribosomal RNA (506 nucleotides) under uncultured bacterium. Its description in RNAcentral is "bacterial SSU rRNA". It matches the Rfam family "Bacterial small subunit ribosomal RNA", at positions 29 to 508 of the family's 1533-position model. The record is from RNAcentral.
AGCGAACGCUGGCGGCGUGCCUAACACAUGCAAGUCGAACGCGAAAGGGGGGGCAACUCCCCAAGUAGAGUGGCGCACGGGUGAGUAACGCGUGGGUAAUCUGCCCUUGAGUGGGGAAUAACCUCGCGAAAGCGGGGCUAAUACCGCAUAACAACCUUCCGUCCGCGGAUGGGGGGUUCAAAGAUGACCUCUGCAUGCAAGUUGUCGCUUGAGGAUGAGCCCGCGUCCCAUUAGCUAGUUGGUAGGGUGACGGCCUACCAAGGCGACGAUGGGUAGCCGGCCUGAGAGGGUGACCGGCCACACUGGAACUGAGACACGGUCCAGACUCCUACGGGAGGCAGCAGUGAGGAAUAUUGCGCAAUGGGCGAAAGCCUGACGCAGCGACGCCGCGUGGAGGAUGAAGGCCUUCGGGUCGUAAACUCCUGUCGAGGGGGACGAAAUGGCACCUUGUGAAUAGCAAGGAGCCUUGACUGUACCCCUGGAGGAAGCCCCGGCUAACUCCGUGC